Molecule: ribosomal RNA, 374 nt
Filed under: Antistia maculipennis
Lineage: Eukaryota; Metazoa; Arthropoda; Insecta; Mantodea; Eremiaphilidae
Description: partial 12S ribosomal RNA
Source: RNAcentral
AUACCCUAUUAUUUUUAUCGUAAAUAACAAAACCUAAGUAUUAGUAGCUAUGGUCUUGAAACUUAAAGAAUUUGGCGGUAUUAUAGUCUGUUUAGAGGAAUCUGUUGCGUAAUCGAUAAUCCGCGUUGAAUCUUACUUACGUUAUUUCUUGUAUACCGCUGUUUAUGAAUAUACUUUCAGGUAAAUUUUCUGGAUAAAUCAGUAAUUAUUAUUUCAAGUCAAGGUGCAGUAAUAUUUAAGUUGGACAAUGGAUUACAAUAAAUUUUAUUUAAUACGGAAGGUAGAAUUUUAAUGUGACUUGAAGGUGGAUUUAAUUGUAAUUUUUUGAAGAUUGUGAAAUUGAUUUAUAGCUCUAUAAUAUGCACACAUCGCCC